UGUAGGGGCCUCCACCUCCCACGCCGCCACCCACAGGCCCCCGAUGGGGAGACCCAGCCCAUGACGGAGGUGGACCUGUUCGUCUCCACCAAGAGGAUCAAGGUCUUGACAGCGGACUCCCAGGAGGCCAUGAUGGACCACGCCCUGCAUACCAUCUCCUACAUAGCCGACAUCGGCCGCGUGCUGGUGCUGAUGGCGCGGCGGCGGCUGGCGCGGAGGCCGGCACCCCAGGACCACGGCCGCCGCCUCUACAAGAUGCUCUGCCAUGUGUUCUACGCGGAGGACGCCCAGCUCAUUGCCCAGGCCAUCGGCCAGGCCUUCGCUGCCGCCUACAGCCAGUUCCUACGGGAAAGCGGUAUUGACCCCAGCCAGGUGGGCGCGCACCCGAGCCCAGGCGCCGGCCACCUCCACAACGGGGACCUGGACCACUUCUCCAACAGUGACAACUGCCGAGAGGUGCACCUCGAGAAGCAGCGAGGGGAGGGCCUGGGCGUGGCCCUGGUGGAGUCGGGCUGGGGCUCCCUGCUGCCCACAGCCGUCAUCGCCAACCUGCUGCAUGGGGGGCCUGCCGAGCGCU
This 577-nucleotide small RNA is filed under the name Pongo abelii (Sumatran orangutan). RNAcentral's name for it is "retained intron". The record is from RNAcentral. Lineage: Eukaryota; Metazoa; Chordata; Mammalia; Primates; Hominidae.